RNAcentral lists this ribosomal RNA (401 nucleotides) under uncultured Rhodocyclaceae bacterium. RNAcentral describes it as "bacterial SSU rRNA". It matches the Rfam family "Bacterial small subunit ribosomal RNA", at positions 981 to 1382 of the family's 1533-position model. The record is from RNAcentral. Lineage: Bacteria; Pseudomonadati; Pseudomonadota; Betaproteobacteria; Rhodocyclales; Rhodocyclaceae.
UUGACAUGUCCGGAAUCCCGAAGAGAUUUGGGAGUGCUCGCAAGAGAACCGGAACACAGGUGCUGCAUGGCUGUCGUCAGCUCGUGUCGUGAGAUGUUGGGUUAAGUCCCGCAACGAGCGCAACCCUUGUCAUUAGUUGCCAUCAUUGGUUGGGCACUCUAAUGAGACUGCCGGUGACAAACCGGAGGAAGGUGGGGAUGACGUCAAGUCCUCAUGGCCCUUAUGGGUAGGGCUUCACACGUCAUACAAUGGUCGGUACAGAGGGUUGCCAACCCGCGAGGGGGAGCUAAUCCCACAAAGCCGAUCGUAGUCCGGAUCGCAGUCUGCAACUCGACUGCGUGAAGUCGGAAUCGCUAGUAAUCGUGGAUCAGCAUGUCACGGUGAAUACGUUCCCGGGUCUU